ACGAACGCUGGCGGCGUGCUUAACACAUGCAAGUCGAACGGAAAGGCCCUGCUUUUGUGGGGUGCUCGAGUGGCGAACGGGUGAGUAACACGUGAGUAACCUGCCCUUGACUUUGGGAUAACUUCAGGAAACUGGGGCUAAUACCGGAUAGGAGCUCCUGCUGCAUGGUGGGGGUUGGAAAGUUUCGGCGGUUGGGGAUGGACUCGCGGCUUAUCAGCUUGUUGGUGGGGGAGUGGCUUACCAAGGCUUUGACGGGUAGCCGGCCUGAGAGGGUGACCGGCGACAAUGGGACUAAGGUACGGCCCAGACUCCAACGGGAGGCAGCAGUGGGGAGUAUGGCACAAUGGGCGGAAGCCGGAUGCAGCAACGCCGCGUGCGGGAUGACGGCCUUCGGGUUGUAAACCGCUGUCGCCUGUGACGAAGCGGGAGUGACGGUAAUGGGUAAAGAAGCACCGGCUAACUACGUG
This 467-nucleotide ribosomal RNA is filed under the name uncultured bacterium. Its description in RNAcentral is "partial 16S ribosomal RNA". It matches the Rfam family "Bacterial small subunit ribosomal RNA", at positions 29 to 507 of the family's 1533-position model. The record is from RNAcentral.